UCUCACCCAUUCCAGUCGUCUUCAGCUCCCCUUUGCUUACUCUCUCACCCCGACUCCGACGACCAACCACUGGUGGUUGCCAGCGACAGCGACAACCAUUCUCCUUCGUCUUCCUUUCUCGGCCACUCUCUCAGUAUCAUCUGCUGCUCGUUCUCUAACUCUCUCCUCUCUCUGACAUAACAGGACCCAAAUUGGGGAAAGAGAGAUUCGGUUUUCUAUCGAGUUCUUCAGGCAAAACAAGGAAUGGUCUCUUUGUGUUCGGUUAGGUCCACUAAUAUAGAGAAAAAGGUCCAACUUGCUUGGCCAGCAAAUAACUUGUGUGAAUCCAUUUCUGUCUUUUGCAGGUCAAUCAUGGUAUUCAUUAUAUCACCACCUAUAUUUCCAGGUGUUGUUACAAAUAUAUACGGUUCUUGAUAUGUCUACUGGAAUGGAUUACAAAAUGAAAAGUGGUGAUGCAGCUGGAGCUUUAAAGAUUGAACCUAUUCAAAGGGCUAGUUUCUUCUACGUUGCCUAUUAUUGAUGCUACAGAUUUUGUAGCAAACAACUCCAAUUCAAUAUUUUUAGUUUUGAUAUUAUCUUUUUCAAGCUACAAUUGGGAUGUAUUGUAGGUUACUGUGGACAUGUUAAUGUAAAAACUACCCAUAUUUGAAUUAUAAGAAUUUUUUUUUCA
Non-coding RNA from Malus domestica (apple), 670 nucleotides. Lineage: Eukaryota; Viridiplantae; Streptophyta; Magnoliopsida; Rosales; Rosaceae. The record is from RefSeq and is a predicted model, not a curated record.